This is a long non-coding RNA of Choloepus didactylus (southern two-toed sloth), 8854 nucleotides long. RefSeq lists it as uncharacterized. The transcript has 4 exons. The record is from RefSeq and is a predicted model, not a curated record. NCBI's taxonomy places the organism in Eukaryota, Metazoa, Chordata, Mammalia, Pilosa, Megalonychidae.
UUCUACCCUGGGGCAGAAGUAUUUAUGUCUGCAAUUAGAAUAGCUCCAGGUUUGAAUCCCAGUGCCUGGGUUCUGGUGCCAACUCUGGAUUGGCUCACAUUUUGGACUUGGGUUCUACUUUCCCCUUGUUGGGCCUCAGACAUUUUCUCUUUUAUAACACAGAAGUCUGGGAUCAUAAUAUUGGCUCCCAACCAAACUCUGGUCCUUGUAAGAGCCUGUGGAAGGGAUGGAGGUGGGAGGGGGUUGAGAAUGACACUUGCUGGGAGAGACACAGUUUCUGGUAAUGUCCCCACCUCCCAUGGCAGCUGCUGGGAAGAGGCAGCAUCUUUUUUUCACCAGAAGUUGCUCUGACAUCAAAAGUGCAACAGCUGCACCUAGACCUGCCAGCCUCCCUUUUCCUGGACAAAGAACUUCCAGCCAGCCAUCCUUUAUAAGCCCUACUGUUCCCGUGACUCGGGGCUGUCACCAUUUUCUUAGGCUUUAGCCCACCUGUGCAAGGCCGGACACUAAAGCUCCUUUUGAUCAAAAAAAAAAAAAAAAAAAGUGCAACAGCUGCUCUCGAGGCUGCUUCUGCCUCUUCUGCUGUUGUCUCCUGUCUGGACUCCCUGAUACCUGAGACAGGGCAGACAGGUGGCCAGCAGACAAGGAAGGUCCUGCCCUAGAGCCUCAAGGGCACUGUGCUGCUUAUGACCCUGACUGUCACAGUACAGGUGAAUCCUGUCAGCUUUGUCAGAGCGGCUCUACCCCCGAGUUACAUCAGGAAGGCAGGGGGAUAGGGCAGACUGGAAGGGCCUAGACCCUAGAAGCUAAACAGGCGCCCAACGUCCCCACCACUGGGUGGACGCUUGGGACUGGUUAUUAUUCUAGCCAGAUUGUGAAAGAAGUCCUCCAUCUCUUGACUCCCAAGAGGAAUAUAAUGUCAGAGUAGAAGUUCCCUGAGCUGGGAGGCAGCGUCCUUCAGCCUCAGCAGUGGAGAGUGGAAGCUGGAGGGGCAAAGAGUCAGGCAGAUAACGUUUUGACCUAGUUUGGUUUUCUCUCCUUUGAAGUUCUAAUCUUGUCAAGUGCUACUGAGGUUUGAUUUCCCAUCCUGGGAUCUGGGUAAAGCUGGUAGAGGCAGAGCCUCAUGGAGAAGCCCAGGGGUAGGGCCAGACAGGAUGUGCUUGGGGCAGCCCGAGGCAGACAUAGUCCGAGGCUGGUUCAUACCCCAUAGGGAGCGCCACGGCCAGGGCUGGAAGAACAGUAUCAGUUCUAGAAUCCACAGGAGCCUGGGGGACUCAGGCAGGGUCAAGGCUAGACCCUCAUCUGUUCCAGAUGCUAGUGGACCCCCUUUCCUUGGCAUUCUGUGGCAUGGGUGAGGAUAGUCGGUUUAAGGCUGCAGUUUCUGGCUGGACAAGUAGGGCUGAAUUUGGUGUCUCUAUAGCCAAUGUCAGGGGCUUCUAGGCCCCACUAGCUUCAAAAGUCCUUUGGCAAUUUAGAGAAUAGGUACCCAAGACAAGCUGAGGAUGCCAGUAGAUCUAUGAGCUCAUGUCAGACAGGGGCAUUGAGGAAGAUGCUCCAGGAAGGCAGGGAGCUCUGGUAUUCUGUUGGCAGCCACUGUCCUUCCCCGCCUGCCUCCCCCGCCCCCAAUCCUUUGCCACCCCCCGCCCCAGCCCAGCCUCCGAGGAUCUGCAGUGUUUGUGGCAUGUGCUGUCAUCUUGGUGGAGGCGCAGAUGGAGAAGUAAUCAAGCAGCACCGUUUGCUUUUUGGAAGCAACAGAACAGAAGACCUCGUGUCAUUUUAACAAAGAAGGAAUGAAACAGCAGGCAAUUAGGCAGGAGUGUAUCAAUUAGUGAGCCAGAAAAAUGCUUUAUAGUAUUUUGAUGAUUCAACACUGUCACAACAAAAACAAAAUUAAAAAACAAACCCCCAAACAAAUACCAAAAAGCCCACAGAAAUUGUUAAAUAAUCACUUCAUUUAAAUGCAGUUAACAUACAUGAAAAUGGUAAAAAGCCAUUUCGUAGGGAAGAGAGCUAAUAUAAUGUGAUUAUGUUCUUGGUUUGUAAAAAGAAUACAGUUGUGUGGAUUCCCAUCCAGUGUUCCCCUCUCAACACAGUCCCCUUCUGGCUAACAAUCUACUAUGACCUUCUGCCCACCUCUCGGCCUAGAAAAUGUAGUUGAGUCUUCACACUGAGCUGGGCACAGACACGGAGCUGUUUGUCCUUCCUUGGCCAGACCAAGGGGGAAGUGACCUGGAAUUGUGUGAGGUAUAUCUUUCGCAAGUAGAUAAGGAAAAAGACUGUGUUUGGUCAUGAUCGAGCCUUGGAUUUGAAUCCCAGCUUUGACAUGCACUAGGAGAAGAUACCUUAGCCUUUUAGAGAUCCAGUAUCCUCAUUUGUAAAUCAGAAUAUUCCUACUCUGCAAGGUCAUUGUCAGGAUCAAAUAAAAAAAAUACAUUAAAAAGCUCAUGAUAUACAGUAGGUGCUAAACAAAUAUUUCUCUUUCCUUCUCAGAGCUUCAGUCUUGACAAUAGCUUCUGUCUCUUGGAGUGCCAAUCAAUGGCGGCAUUUUACAUCCCAACUUGCCUUACAAGUAAUAGUAAGGGCCAUUUGGCCACAUGGCAAUUACAGCCUUGCUUGGUGGUAACUCAAGUUGUUUUCUUUAGAGAACACCUUCCUUGUUUCCACAAGAGUUUUGCCUCCAGAUGAAACCUGUGCAAGAAAUUUUUGUUCUGAGUGGAGGAUGCAUAGCAGAUUUCUAGCUGCUUUGUAUCUAUUUGUUGCCUUAGGUUCUUUAAUUCUCAACUACAGUAAAGAUGUUCAAUGCACACAGAGCUAACUAGUAUUAGAGCAGAGUCAUUCAUUUAUUCAUCCAUCCAUCCAUCCAUUCAUUCAUUCACUCAUUCAUUCUACAUCAUGCUCUCCAGACAGGAUGUUUGUGAGAGUGGAAGAAAGGGAAAUGGGACAGGGGGAGGUUGGGGUGUGCCUGGAAGUGUGAAGAGGAGGUUGCAGAGAUGAAGUUGUCCUCCUGGUGGGAUAAUUGUUAGUAUCCGUGGUCAAGAGCAAUGUUUGUCAAGUGCCAGAUCAUUGGUUCCCACAGAGAGCUCCACAUCCAUUCAGAGAUGCCUCCUUGCAACUUGUCCCUCAGCUUUGGAGCAGGUGGGGUGGAAGCUAAGCUUUGGAGGAAGGCAGAGUUAGCGAAGGGCUGAGGCUGCCUAGACAUGCCUGUGGAAGUUCGAGCACAAUUCUGAGACAUGUGCUGGGGCUGGGCUGGCCUGGUUCUGUGUGACACUCAUGCUAUUAGGAUCGUGAAAAAUGUAUUUAUUCAUACACUCGAUACCCACAGUGCCUCCAUUCACACAAACCCACGUGGCCAGAACCCCAGGACCGCAGAGCUGGAUAGCCACUAGAAGUCAUUUAGCCAGCAGGAUCAUGAUACAAGUGAGGAAACUGAGACCCACGGUGGGGGUGGGGGGGAGUUCACAGGUCCAAGACCACUCGGAGAGCUGGAGGGAGGACCCCGUGACCCCUGCUGUCCCUUCCCCUCACUGCUCCCCAUCCCACACAACGCCACCCCUUAGACACAAGCACUCCCAAUUCUCUAACCCUUCCUUCUAGUAUUUACCUUUAUUUUCCUGAGUUCCAAGGUUAGACUGGUAUUUCUUAAUUUACCAGUUUUAGGCAAAUAUCUGUUGACUUCUUGUCAGGUAGAUGUGGAGUCAGCUCUCCUAUACUUCCUGUCCCCCCUUUUAGCCUCCUGAUCCACCAAAAUCCUCUCAAUUGAAUGAAAAACACUGUUUACUACAGGUCAAGUAGGUCCUAUGAAUACAUUUUCUUUCUUGUACAAUUUUUAUUUUCCUAGAAUUAAAAAUUGCACACUAUUUUUCAUUUGCACAGUCUAGUGAUACACCCGUCAUCGUUUUCCCCCAUUGGAUCCGUCACAGCCUUGGCAGACAGGUGUCCCCAAAUGAGAGCUGCUUUUUCUGCCAUGUCUGGGAUCAUCCUGAUUUCAAGCCUCAAUAACCUGGGGUGCCCAGUCCUCACCAGUCUUGUUGGGAUGCUAACAGGAGUCUCCUGCAUUGCAGGGGUCCCUGCCCUCCCCGCUCACCCAGGGCCCGUGCUCCUGGUGCAGGCUCGCCCUCCUUCCAGGUACUUCCGGGAGUUCCAGGGUAUUUCCCACACAUGCUCACCAAGGUAUCUGCUCUGGUCUCUCCUGCUGUGUGGCUGCGUCUGACUGAGCUGCCUGCUUCUCUGCCCACUGUGAACCAGCGUCUCCUUCUGGUGCUGCAGACCCCUGCCAGAUACUGCCGUCUAUUGUGAGACCUCAUGAUGCCAGCAGAGCGUUGCAUUGUGUAGAUGCCACACAGCUGUAGCUGUCAGCAAGUCAUGCUGCGUGACAAAUCAGCAAAAAUGGAGCUCGGGAAAUGCUGUCACUUCCCUCCAUUAAUGCAAGAGCUGUGGACAAGUCCCUACAUUGUCACUGCUCCAAAUUACACCUGAGAUUGAUAAUAGAGUACCCUGUGCAAAGGAUUCUCCAAAUGUGAUUUCCAGAAACUUGAGAGAAAGUACCAAUAGAAUUCCUCAGUGGAACAUAUGCACAUUUUGUGGCCAAACCGUAUUUGUGUUAUUUGGAAAGUCUGGAGUUAUCCUGAGGUGAGACAUGGCAUCUGGCUAAACGAGCCAGUGGCUCCCAUCUCCACACAGAUGUGGUAAGCCAGCACCAGGGAGGGUGUGACUGUGGGUCAGGACAACCUCUCCCUGGGGCUUAGACGGGUGCGCUCCACUUCUGCCUUUUUUAAUGUUCACGCUCUGGGAUGUCAUCCUCUGCUGUUUUCAGCCCUUCUCCAAAAAGGGAACAAUACAAAUGAUCAGGCUUCUGCAGGUGAAAUUACAAUCACUACCACUUCUCUCAGAGGUUGCUGCUGGGCACCUUGGGUGGAGUUUGGUGGUUCCCGUAUUUCUCUGGUUACAGUCUUUUGGUUUGUUCCCACCGAUCGCCUAUCAUACCGUGGCAUGUAUAUUCUACUGGGUUCAACCUCAGAGGGUGACCUUAUUCCCAUUUCUUCUGGAUCCUGGGCUGUCAUUUACUUUACAUGCAUAUUUGCAAUUGAUAACGAGGCACAGAGGGAAUCUGAUGGCAGCCUCUCAUACCUGCUCACCAGGCAGGGGGUGAACCAGCAGACAGGUGUGGCUAAUGGAGCAGUCUUCCCUCGGCUCUAGCUGGAACUCCUUUCCUCCCCUGUUCUCCAAGUGCCAGUGUAUGGCCCCUAUGGUUCUUGGCCCAUAGUGUCUGCCCUGGGCUGGAGCUUUGCUGCCUGAGGGCCUUUAUGAUUUAUGUGAAAAUGUUUGUCCUCUGUUUAUAUUGCUUCACCCUAAAUUCAGUUCAAUGCCCACAUGCUGGCAUGGAAGGCAGGUCCUUCCUGUUCACGCACCUUGCUACCUACUCCUGCUCCUUGGCGGCCCUGUGCACACUCUCUCUUUCCACCAACCAGCCAUCCUGGCCAUCCCCAGGUUCUGGGGCUGCUACCUUCUCUGCUCCAUAGGGUGAUAGGGAAAGAAAGGGCAGUUGCCUGAUGAAGAGUGAGCAGCUAGGAAAGAUGAAUGAACUAUUACAGUUUCUCCUGGGCUGAAGCUGUCAGUGUUCUAUAGGUCAUGAUUCAUCAGGCACUUUUGAGUGGUUUGCACACAAAUAAGGUAAAUGGUUAGAAUGUGGAUAACUGCCGGUGUUAGGUUUUUGCCUACGUGGAAAGACCAAUGGUUGUCACUAGAGGGCUGUCUCUGGGGGCGUGAGUCUCCUUCCGGCAGCUCUGGAUGGCCUCUGGCAGAGAAGCCAGAGGCACAGCCUUAGUUUCCUUCCUGGACCGGAUGUUGGAUAGGCAGGGUGUGUUAAAGGCCGUCAGUGUCCCAAAGAACAUGGCUGCCUCUCCAUUUUCAUGGCUGCAGCCAUGGUCCAUGCUCCCUGUGUUUCUGGGAUGACAGUAAGCUUCCAAAUCUGAUCUCUUUACAUCUACCCUUGUCUGGCUUCUUUCUGUCCCUCCUUCACUCUGCAGCUGGGAUUCUGUAAAUGAGAACUUGUCACUUAAAAUUGUCCAGUGGCUUCCCACUGCACUUGGAAUAAGGCCUGUGCCUUACUGCAAGGAUUUACAUGAUCUGGUGCAGCUUACCUGCAUCCUUUCUGCUUGCACCCUUUGGAGUGUGGACGGAGAACAGUCAAGUUCUUCCUGCCCCAGGGCCUUGGCACUUGCAGUUCCGUCCACCUGGAGAGGUCUUCACAUGCUCAGAGCCAUCUCAUUCUUCAGGUCUGCUCAAAUGCCCCCUUUUGAAACAAACCUUCUCUGGCCCUUACCUAGAGCAUCUCUAACCUGACCUUGACCCAGAUACCCUUUAUAACAUCAUCCUUUUUUAUGGUCUUCCGAGCACUGAUUAUCAGAAAUCAUCUCUGUUGAUGUUGUUUAUUAGACCAUCAGAUCCACGAAGGAAGGCUCUCACAUGUCUGGGUCAGGACAAUUGUCUCCAUGUCUGGCACUUUUAGCAGUCACUGAAAUAAAUACACCAUUGAAUUACUCUGUCUACAAAGCCUUAGGCUUACGGCUAUUUGGCUGCAGCAUCUAGAGUCAUUUGAAAGCCAUUCAUGUGCAGGAGUAUGACAAUGGACAGAAGCUCCUCAAAAAUCUUCUUUCUGUAUAUUUGGGGGUUAGGUUAGGUCAGGCCGGGUCCUCGGCUUCCUGAGUUAUCGUAAGAGCAGUUUUUUUAACUUCCCUGCUCUGCAUGUUGGUGGUUUCAGCAUGUGGCCCUCUGGUUUCUUGGAGAUCCUCAUCUUCUCAGAUUCUAAAAUGGGAAUAAUUGCACACAGUUAUUUAUCACCUUCCUAUAGAUACUGUAUAUUUUUGAGAAGGCUGUAUUGACUAACCUUGCUUUUAUUUUUUUGUCUUGGAGAAAUAAAGUCUCCCUGAUUUAGUUAUAGGCAUGAUUUGGAAAAAUUAAAAAGUUUUUGAGAGUCGGAGACUUGCAUGCGGGAGUACUGGUGCCACAUCAAUGAGAUGUGAGCCGUGGUCUCUCUGAGUGUGCGCAGCAGAGGCCGCACCCAGGGAGAGGGAGCUGCCCUUCCCCUCUUCCUUUCCAGCAGCCCCAGACCUGUGGGAGCAGGAAGUUAAUCAUCACCUCCUAGGACACUUGGAACCUCCUCUCAUCUUGAAAGGAUUUUCCUCACGCUGGGCUCAGGAGGGGAGGAGACCCACAUGUCCCACACAGACAGUUAUUUCCGUGGCUUUGUACCCUCUGGGUACAUAUGUGCCUGACAUACUUGAACUUUGAUCAAGAGAUACGUGCAGAAUUCAGUGUGGAGAGAAGUGCUGGCUGAGGAGACCCCAAAGCCCCCCUGCUGGGUGAUUAUAAUGAAUGUGGGAGCCUGCUCUGUGUCGAGCCACUGGGCAAGCCAGGCUGGCUUUGGCGGAGGCUGCCGCAGGGAGCUCCCUUCCCCCAGUUGGUAAGAUCACACCAUCUGGAGGGAGGAGGCCAUUGGACACCACCCUGCCAUGGUUGCCUCUCAUCCCACAGGCCAUCGAUGGGGCUGAGAGGAGGCAGGCUUGGAAGGUAUGCUCCUGCAGCCCAAGGCCCAGGAAGAUGUCAGACAAGAUGGACGAUGCAGACACCUGGCAGGACAAACUUAAGUACCCUUCUCAGCUUGCAUGGACACUCAUACUCCCAGAGGCUGCGCCAUGCUUGGCACCGUACUCAGGGAGCCUCUUCUCUGUCCCUUUCAUCCUGAUGACAUUAUAUGCAGCAGGAUUUUAUUUUAUUUAUUUCACUAUUACAUAGGAAGGGACUCUUUAAAAAGGGUAAAUACUUUGCCUGAAGCCACCAGUAUUCUAGUUCUCUGUUGCUGUGUAACAAACCAUCCCCAAACCCAAUGGCCUGAAAAGACGAUGAUUAUUAAACUUGGAAAUUCUGUGGGUGCAAGGGGACGGCUUGUCUUUGCUCUAACAGGUCUGGACCUUCAGCUGGAAAGUCUCAGAUGAUUGGAGGUGACUCGAAUGGGAGACUGGCACCUUGCUGGGACACCUGGAAGGUGGGAUUCAGCUGGAACUAAUGCCAGGGUACCCACAUGCGGCCUCUACACGCAGCUGUGGUUCAUCCAUGCAGCACGGCGCUGGGUGCCAGAGGAAGAGUACCAAGAGGACACUUUCUCACCAUCUGGAGAGUGAGAGAACCUAGGAAAGGCUUCUCCUGACUUAGCAAGUCACCUAGCAUCCCUUCCUCCCUACUUGAUUGGUUGAAGCAGCCACAAGCCCUCCCCAUUUCCAAGGAAGGGGACAGAUAGUCCCUACUUUGCGAUGGGUUCAUUUGCCUGUUCAUCACAUCCUGGAAUCACCAUAGCCUCCUAAAGUCUUGGCACCUCCAAGCACUAGGUGAGUAGCCAUGGGCAUAUCACACAGCUUCUUUUGACCUCAGUUUUCUGCAAAAUAGUGAUCAGUAUAUCUGCUUCCAGCAAAGUUAGGGGGAUUGAAUGGGUUGAUAUGAGGAAGUGUUUUCGAAUCUGAUAAACACAAUAUAUGUUAGCUGGUUUUUAAAUGCAGUUUUACUGAGAUAUAUUCAAACACCAUAUAUGUUAUUAUUAUAAUCAUUUCCUCCAGCAAUUAGCAAGCAGAGGGAAUCACCCAGACCAAGUACUUAGUAAAUAUGUGCACUUUAGUUGUGAUUUACUCCCGACCCUAAAUGAAGUUCAUUGCAGAAGGAGAGUGUAACUUUUAUCUCCUGUCCCACUUGGGGACAUAUGUCACAGAAACCCUUCUGUGUGAAUUGGCUAUGCCAUACCUCUUCUUAUGCUGCCAAGCUGGAAGAGUGAUGGCAGGCUUCUGUAACUGACAUAAUCACAGCA